UCCUUGUUCGUCUAACGGUUAAGAUACGGCUUUUUCAACAGCUCUGGUUUUCAGAACACGAGCAGCUGAGAUCGGGGUUCGAUUCCCCGGCAGGGAA
Non-coding RNA from Ustilago sp. UG-2017a, 97 nucleotides. NCBI's taxonomy places the organism in Eukaryota, Fungi, Basidiomycota, Ustilaginomycetes, Ustilaginales, Ustilaginaceae. The record is from the annotation of a GenBank genome assembly.